AUGAACGCUGGCGGCGUGCCUAAUACAUGCAAGUCGAGCGAACAGACGAGGAGCUUGCUCCUCUGACGUUAGCGGCGGACGGGUGAGUAACACGUGGAUAACCUACCUAUAAGACUGGGAUAACUUCGGGAAACCGGAGCUAAUACCGGAUAAUAUAUUGAACCGCAUGGUUCAAUAGUGAAAGACGGUUUUGCUGUCACUUAUAGAUGGAUCCGCGCCGCAUUAGCUAGUUGGUAAGGUAACGGCUUACCAAGGCAACGAUGCGUAGCCGACCUGAGAGGGGGAUCGGCCACACUGGAACUGAGACACGGUCCAGACUCCUACGGGAGGCAGCAGUAGGGAAUCUUCCGCAAUGGGCGAAAGCCUGACGGAGCAACGCCGCGUGAGUGAUGAAGGUCUUCGGUUCGUAAAACUCUGUUAUUAGGGAAGAACAAAUGUGUAAGUAACUAUGCACGUCUUGACGGUACCUAAUCAGAAAGCCACGGCUAACUACGUG
Molecule: ribosomal RNA, 496 nt
Filed under: uncultured bacterium
Lineage: Bacteria
Description: partial 16S ribosomal RNA
Rfam family: Bacterial small subunit ribosomal RNA
Source: RNAcentral